Molecule: non-coding RNA, 72 nt
Organism: Bos taurus (domestic cattle)
Lineage: Eukaryota; Metazoa; Chordata; Mammalia; Artiodactyla; Bovidae
Source: Rfam
UCCCUAGUGGCUCAGACAGUACAGCGUCUGCCUAAAAUGCAGGAGACCCAGGUUCAAUCCCUGGGUUAGGAA